Long non-coding RNA from Zonotrichia leucophrys gambelii, 295 nucleotides. RefSeq lists it as uncharacterized. The transcript has 3 exons. The record is from RefSeq and is a predicted model, not a curated record. Lineage: Eukaryota; Metazoa; Chordata; Aves; Passeriformes; Passerellidae.
CGCUGCCUUGGGGAUUUGCAUCUGGAAGCGGCCACCAGUUUCCUGCUGGGAAUCCUGGAAAGAGAACUCGGUGAGAAAUGCGAAUGCUGCAGCUGGAGCGCUGAGAGGGGAGAGUCUGCAGGGAAUGUGUCUGGGCAGCGUGUGAGCCCAGGCCAUCCUCCCUGGAGCAGGGACAGCCGAGGAUGAGCCGCAGGGAUUCAGCCAUCAGAGCAGGCCAGGAAGAAUCCCCAAACUCCUCCCAGCGUUGCCCAAACCUUUGGUGUUUGAGCAGCCCCAGCCCAGCCGUGCCCUGCUG